Molecule: transfer RNA, 71 nt
Filed under: Stegodyphus mimosarum
Lineage: Eukaryota; Metazoa; Arthropoda; Arachnida; Araneae; Eresidae
Rfam family: tRNA
About the family: Transfer RNA (tRNA) molecules are approximately 80 nucleotides in length. Their secondary structure includes four short double-helical elements and three loops (D, anti-codon, and T loops).
Source: Rfam by way of RNAcentral
GCCUUCGUGGUUUAACGGUAGCACACUCGGCUCGUAUUCUAGAGGUCCAGGUUCGAGUCCCGGCGAGGGCA